Molecule: ribosomal RNA, 1036 nt
Filed under: uncultured Acidobacteriaceae bacterium
Lineage: Bacteria; Pseudomonadati; Acidobacteriota; Terriglobia; Terriglobales; Acidobacteriaceae
Description: bacterial SSU rRNA
Rfam family: Bacterial small subunit ribosomal RNA
Source: RNAcentral
AUGACGGUACCCAUAGAAGAAGCCCCGGCUAACUUCGUGCCAGCAGCCGCGGUAAUACGAGGGGGGCAAGCGUUGUUCGGAAUUAUUGGGCGUAAAGGGUGCGUAGGCGGUCUGACAAGUCUGAUGUGAAAUCUAUGGGCUCAACCCAUAGUCUGCAUCGGAAACUGUCGGGCUUGAGUAUGGGAGAGGUGAGUGGAAUUUCCGGUGUAGCGGUGAAAUGCGUAGAUAUCGGAAGGAACACCUGUGGCGAAAGCGGCUCACUGGACCAUUACUGACGCUGAGGCACGAAAGCUAGGGGAGCAAACAGGAUUAGAUACCCUGGUAGUCCACGCCCUAAACGAUGCAUAUUUGGUGUGGGCAGUUCAUUCUGUCCGUGCCGGAGCUAACGCGUUAAAUAUGCCGCCUGGGGAGUACAGUCGCAAGGCUGAAACUCAAAGGAAUUGACGGGGGCCCGCACAAGCGGUGGAGCAUGUGGUUCAAUUCGACGCAACGCGAAGAACCUUACCUGGGCUCGAACGGCUGGUCAACGGAGGUGGAAACAUCUUUACCCCGCAAGGGGGUCCAGUCGAGGUGCUGCAUGGCUGUCGUCAGCUCGUGUCGUGAGAUGUUGGGUUAAGUCCCGCAACGAGCGCAACCCUUGUCCUGUGUUGCCAUGGUGAAAACCGGAACUCGCAGGAGACCGCCAGCGAUAAGCUGGAGGAAGGUGGGGAUGACGUCAAGUCCUCAUGGCCUUUAUGUCCAGGGCUACACACGUGCUACAAUGGACGGUACAAAGCGUUGCUAACCUGCGAAGGGGAGCCAAUCGCAAAAAACCGUUCUCAGUUCGGAUUGCAGGCUGCAACUCGCCUGCAUGAAGCUGGAAUCGCUAGUAAUGGCAGAUCAGCACGCUGCCGUGAAUACGUUCCCGGGCCUUGUACACACCGCCCGUCACAUCACGAAAGUGGAUUGUACUAGAAGUCUGCAGGCUGACCCGCAAGGGGGGCAGCGGCCCAAGGUAUGAUCCAUGAUUGGGGUGAAGUCGUAACAAGGUAACCAA